AAUGAACGCUGGCGGCGUGCGUAACACAUGCAAGUCGAACGUGAAAGUCCCCUUCGGGGGAUGAGUAAAGUGGCAAACGGGUGAGUAACACGUGGGUAACCUGCCCUCUGGUGGGGGAUAACCCUGCGAAAGCGGGGCUAAUACCGCAUAACAAGUCGCUAAAUAAUUAGUCGACUUCAAAGCCUUCGGGCGCUAGAGGAGGGGCCCGCGUCCCAUUAGCUAGUUGGUAGGGUAACGGCCUACCAAGGCUGCGAUGGGUAGCCGGCCUGAGAGGGUGUCCGGCCACACUGGAACUGAGACACGGUCCAGACUCCUACGGGAGGCAGCAGUAGGGAAUAUUGGACAAUGGGCGCAAGCCUGAUCCAGCCAUGCCGCGUGAGUGAAGAAGGCCUUCGGGUUGUAAGCUCUUUCAGGUGGAAAGAAAACGACAUGGGUCAAUACCCUGUGUGGAUGACGGUACCAUCAGAAGAAGCACCGGCUAACUACGUGCCAGCAGCCGCGGUAAUCUGUAGU
RNAcentral lists this ribosomal RNA (513 nucleotides) under uncultured bacterium. Its description in RNAcentral is "bacterial SSU rRNA". It matches the Rfam family "Bacterial small subunit ribosomal RNA", at positions 29 to 531 of the family's 1533-position model. The record is from RNAcentral.